Molecule: ribosomal RNA, 497 nt
Filed under: uncultured bacterium
Lineage: Bacteria
Description: partial 16S ribosomal RNA
Rfam family: Bacterial small subunit ribosomal RNA
Source: RNAcentral
GAUGAACGCUGGCGGCGUGCCUAAUACAUGCAAGUCGAGCGAACAGAUAAGGAGCUUGCUCCUUUGACGUUAGCGGCGGACGGGUGAGUAACACGUGGGUAACCUACCUAUAAGACUGGAAUAACUCCGGGAAACCGGGGCUAAUGCCGGAUAACAUUUAGAACCGCAUGGUUCUACAGUGAAAGAUGGUUUUGCUAUCACUUAUAGAUGGACCCGCGCCGUAUUAGCUAGUUGGUAAGGUAACGGCUUACCAAGGCAACGAUACGUAGCCGACCUGAGAGGGUGAUCGGCCACACUGGAACUGAGACACGGUCCAGACUCCUACGGGAGGCAGCAGUAGGGAAUCUUCCGCAAUGGGCGAAAGCCUGACGGAGCAACGCCGCGUGAGUGAUGAAGGUCUUCGGAUCGUAAAACUCUGUUAUUAGGGAAGAACAAAUGUGUAAGUAACUGUGCACGUCUUGACGGUACCUAAUCAGAAAGCCACGGCUAACUACGUG